Molecule: ribosomal RNA, 161 nt
Filed under: Lepidotrigla microptera
Lineage: Eukaryota; Metazoa; Chordata; Actinopteri; Perciformes; Triglidae
Description: partial 16S ribosomal RNA
Source: RNAcentral
UGCCUAACAGCUAGCCCACUCAACCAACAACAACAAGCCCCUAUUAAUACCCCCAAAUAAACAAGUGUCAACCAAACAAACCAUUUUCCCCCCUAAGUAUAGGUGAUAGAAAAGGACCCGCAGAGCAACAGAAAAAGUACCGCAAGGGAACGCUGAAAAAG